AAGUCGUAACAAGGUCUCCGUAGGUGAACCUGCGGAGGGAUCAUUAUUGAAUUUUCCUAAAGAAAAAUUUUGUGAUUUGCUUUCUCUUGAAAGAGAGAGAGGACAGUACAAGAUUUUUCCCAAACAAACGAUCACAACUACUAGCUGUGUGAAGCAAAAAGAAAAAGAAAAUUGAUUUGGAUGAGAAACAAACAAAAAAAAGUGUUUGCCUGAUAAUCAAGAUGAUUUGGAUUGCAGAAAGAAAUACAACUUUCAACAACGGAUCUCUUGGCUCUCA
RNAcentral lists this unclassified non-coding RNA (277 nucleotides) under fungal sp. RNAcentral's name for it is "partial internal transcribed spacer region". The stretch from base 1 to 46 matches the Rfam family "Eukaryotic small subunit ribosomal RNA", at positions 1786 to 1831 of the family's 1831-position model. The record is from RNAcentral. Lineage: Eukaryota; Fungi.